AACGAACGCUGGCGGCGUGCUUAACACAUGCAAGUCGAACGGAAAGUCCCGGCUUUGGGGCGGUGCUCGAGUUGCGAACGGGUGAGUAACACGUGAGUAACCUGCCCUUGACUGUGGGAGAACUUCAGGAAACUGGGUCUAAUAGCGGCUAGGAGCUCCUGCUGCAGGGUGGGCGUUGGUUAGUUUCGGCGGUUGGUGAUGGACUCGCGGCUUAUCAGCUUGUUGGUGGGGUAGUGUCUUACCAAGGCUUGGACGGGUAGCCGGCCUGAGAGGGUGACCGGCCACAUUGGGACGGAGAUACGGCCCAGACUCCUACGGGAGGCAGCAGUGGGGAAUAUUGCACAAUGGGCGGAAGCCUGAUGCAGCAACGCCGCGUGCGGGAUGACGGCCUUCGGGUUGUAAACCGCUUUCGCCUGUGACGAAGCGUGAGUGACGGUAAUGGGUAAAGAAGCACCGGCUAACUACGUG
Molecule: ribosomal RNA, 468 nt
Filed under: uncultured bacterium
Lineage: Bacteria
Description: partial 16S ribosomal RNA
Rfam family: Bacterial small subunit ribosomal RNA
Source: RNAcentral